GUUCUUGUAGUUGAAUACAACGGUGGUUUUUCAAGUCACAGGUCUUGGUUAAAUCCCAGGCUAGAAUU
RNAcentral lists this transfer RNA (68 nucleotides) under Oryzias uwai. Its description in RNAcentral is "tRNA-Glu". It matches the Rfam family "tRNA". Rfam says of the family: Transfer RNA (tRNA) molecules are approximately 80 nucleotides in length. The record is from RNAcentral. Lineage: Eukaryota; Metazoa; Chordata; Actinopteri; Beloniformes; Adrianichthyidae.